GCCUGGUGGUUCCUGGAGUCAGCUCUGAAGUGCUGAACUGUAGGUUUUUUAUAACAGGCACAAAUUAAUUCUGCAGUUUUUUGCAUGGAAACUGUCGUCAUCGCAGCUUUCCAUAGCCCGGUUGCAGAAACACAU
Molecule: small nucleolar RNA, 135 nt
Organism: Cynoglossus semilaevis (tongue sole)
Lineage: Eukaryota; Metazoa; Chordata; Actinopteri; Pleuronectiformes; Cynoglossidae
Product: small nucleolar RNA SNORA84
Source: Ensembl